Molecule: microRNA precursor, 61 nt
Filed under: Columba livia (rock pigeon)
Lineage: Eukaryota; Metazoa; Chordata; Aves; Columbiformes; Columbidae
Also listed under: 2 other names
Description: Cli-Mir-210_pre stem-loop
Rfam family: mir-210 microRNA precursor family
Source: RNAcentral
AGCCACUGACUAACGCACAUUGUGCUCUCGGCGACUCCACUGUGCGUGUGACAGCGGCUAA